UCUUUCACUAAAACAAAACCUCUCUUCCAUUGUUCGAUCUAGCUCCGCCUAUGUGAUGGAUUUGAUUAUUUUGAUCAACUAGGGAUUUUUAUCUGUUUUCCCAAACCUAAUAAUUUCUGAUUCAAUUUUCUUUUUUAGGUUACUAUGUAUGUUUAAAUCCGAAUUAGGGUUUACCUUGAGCCUGAUAAUGCAAAAGGAUUUUAAGGGUUUCUCAUUUGAUUUUAAGGUUUUUUUAUUUUGAUUCUCUCUUUAUCCCGUUCUUAUUGUUGAUUUUUUUCCUUUAAUAAUUGUUUGCCCGGUUUAUUUACAGAUGUGAUUUCGGCUGAAGCUGGAAAUGGUUUAUUUACAUGAUUGUUAAGUCUAACCCUUUUUUCUCUUCCUGCUUCUUCCCCAUUCUCAACUAUAGACAAACAUAAAAACAGUAUAAUCGUGUUUUUUUUGUUAUUAUUGCUUGAUUAAUAGUUAGGUUUCGUAUCUACUGAUUUCUAUUGUUGUUAUUUCUGAUUGCCAGCAACAGUAACCAAUCUAAUCUCAACUCCUAUCCACAGUAGCUAACCCAUAAAAUCAAAUUUAUUGCUUCUGUUUAGGUUUCAUUCACAGAUUUUACAGGAAAAAAUGGGAAGUAAUUGGGGUUUUUGUUGUACCACAGCUGAGAUUUUUAACGAUACUAUUACCAUGCAUUAAUUAUCUUUUAUCACGAUUGAUUCGCAUGAAGUGGUCAAGUCUAUGUAUUCUUCCUUACUUUUUGUUUUUUCAAUUAGGAACGAACUUUGUUGCAUUAAGCUAUCUAUCUACGGGGGUUAUGGUGGUGAGUUUUUAGUUAAGGUUCAAAAUGGUUUAAAAUAUGAGGCUGAACACCAGUUGAUAAUUCUGUGAAUUAUCAUUAAUUCAUGUGCUUAAAUGUCUUAUUUUGAUGCACUUCCACUAUUCUAAGAAGAAAUUGACCUAAUGCAUGAGUCAGCUGUGACAGAAUUCGAAUUUCGGUGGUUCAAAUUUCUUACACGAGACAAAUUCAUAUCAGCCUUCAGAUUCUUUAGAUAUUGUUGAUCUUUGGAUAUAUUAAAUUAGGGAUGCGAUAAUGGAUAUCAAGGUUAACUUUUGUGGUCGAAUGAGAGGCUGGGUAGGAUACCAGUGCAUUUAAAAGGUAUUGACUGUUCUUUUCUGUCAUAUUUUGUAGCGGCAGAGGCCAUAUCUGGGUUAAACAGAGGUUUGUACUUCUUAUUAGUCUGAACAUUACUUUUCUUUUUCUGUUUGGUAUGGUGUGAGCUUGGAGCAGGAUCAAUAUGCGGUCUUUUUUUUUUUUUGACGACUGAUUUUUUUUUAUUGAUUUUUCAGUUUUUGUGAGAAUUUGUUGUGUUCAAAUGAUUAGCCUGGAUGUCUCAGUGAUGCGCGUGAUUGUUUUUGUUUCGGAUGAUCAUUUCAGCUCAGCAAAUUUGGCUUAGCUUCAGAAUGUUGGGGCUCACUGCUACGAAGAGUUUUGUUGAAGUUGAUUUCUACGGGUAUCCUCUAUGAUCAACUUAAACUAAUUUUGAAGAAAUUGUGUGGGAAAGAUCGGUCUGAGCUUGCCAGAGAAAUGGAGCAGCAUCUUGAUAGGAGCUAAAAAUGAAUGAGGUCAGUGUAUUUAACAGGUAUAGAUGUUUUGCUUGAUUUUGUUGUGGCAGUCGUUGUCUGAAUUCGGUUUCGUUGAAUUUUUUUUAUAAAACAUGUUGGUAUGGGUUCUGUGUUUCCUAAUUGUGAAAGGAGAAUCUGCAUGAAGCGAAGCAACUCUAUAGUAACCAUCAGAUUCCUUAUUUUUGAUUUGAGGUUUGGCAAUUAAAAUUUCACCCUCAGUUGCAUUAUGGUUUCUGAAUAUCAUGUGAACUUGCAUUCUGGAUCUGCAUUUUCUAUUUGUGAUUUUUUGCAUUUAAUUGUUGGUUGCUUAAAAGAAGUUACUGUUGAAAAGUGAGAGCUUACAUUUUAUCCUCUUUUCUUUUUUGCAAGACAGAUAUUGAAGAACCUGUAUAUUAUACAUACCUUGAUCUUUUCCUCACUGAAAUGCAACUAUAUAUAUGUUCUUUCAAUGGAACUUUCAUUGCUUCUCCAACAAUAUAACUAUAGUCACGUAAAUAUUUUUGAAAAAAUCUUCACGACAAUUGCUUUUCAUGCUCAUUUAAUGGAUUACUAAUCUCUUAUCUGAUUUGAUCUUUUAUGUGAGAAGGGGAAAAUAACUGAAUAAGGCCGAGUAGAUUAUCUCUUGGUAAUGUUUAUUUUAACCUCUUCUCUGAGAUAAAAAAAAAAAGUGUAGCUAACCGCAAGUUGAUGGCCUGGACCGUACCAUCGCAGUUAGUCAAAUGGAUAGGCUACCUGAAUUAAAUUUUAUUUCUCUAUUACCAACUCUUUUCUUAUCCUAAUCAGGUAUGAAUUCUAUUUCUCCCUGAUCUGCUUGCUUUUGAUUUUCUUUUGUGUGUACGAUUAUAUGCUGCCACUGAUAUUGUCAUGAAAUCAGAAGAUUAGGAACACCUCAAAUGUCUAUGGUAAGCUGACACUAAUCUUUUUUUGUUUUAUCAUCUCUUACUCCUAUUGUAAUCAUGUGCAUAAUUUUAUAACUAUACGAAGAAGAAAAUAUUCUAUUAUAGAAUAAUUAGUUAAUACUGGAACCGAUGUUUAAAGCCCAUUCAAGUUCAAGAGAGCUAGACGAAAACCCUUAGUUAUGUGUUGUAGAUAAUAAUUGAAAUAACUCUGAUCUUUGUCACUUGUUCAAGUUCCUAACACGCUAAUCAUACAUAAGUGGUGUACUCCCUAUAUACCUUUUGUUUAGCAGUGGUUUUUAGUUAGCAUGGUCUCUUUUUUAAAAGUCAUUUGAGCAUUAAUUUGAAACGUUUUGUAUAUAUGUGCUGCUCUUGCAGAUUUGAAUUCUAUUUUAGGGCAAUCUAAGGUGAUAAUACUAACCCAUCGAGAGAAGAAGAAGGUGACAAUACUAACCAUUUGUUAUCAAUAAAUAGUCGUUUUCAAUUAAGUAUACAUUUAUGGCCUGGGUUGCAGGAAGAUGCUGGAGGAGUCAUAAAUGUCUAUAGAAUCCAUAUUGAAUUGUUCUUUCCAAAUUUAGGCUUUGGGUUCUUAUGGAAGUACCUCUAAUAAUAAAAAUAUUGUUAAUACUUUCAAUUUUAUUAACUUGCAUAAGCGUAUUUGUAUACUUGAUGGGCUGAUUUUACAGUGUUUGGAGUAAUGCUGCAAGUGGCUCAAAGACAUGCAGACUCGGAAAGUUUCAAACAACUAUGCCAAAGACUUAUUUUAUGAUCCUAUACAGGUGGAAUUCUUGCUUGGUGAAAGGAUUAUUGUGAAUGGUAUGUAACUCUUAACUUCACCUCAUUGAAUUUUCUCCAAUCCUAUAAAUAUUUUUGUUUACUUUUCUAGCUUAUUGUUAGUGUCCACUUGGACCAGCUGAUAAAAAGAGUACGGUUAAAUGUAAGAUUAUGAGUUCGAAGGGGACUGAGGGUCUGAGCUGGUGAGUUAUAUAAUGCACUUGCAUAUCUGCUUGCUUCUGAAUAUAAUCCAAUAGAACUAUUGACGUACAAAUGAGUAUACUUGAAUUUUUUUUCACGGUAUAGUUCAAUUGGUAGCUUAGAUGAAAAGGUUUACAGCUUUUGAGGACGAUCAUCUGCAAAAGCUAAUCGCAGGAUGAAGGGACUUGGCUGCUCGGUUUUCAUCUAUCUCCCCAAAUUUUGAGAUUGGAUACUCUAAAGCAUGAGAAUAGAUGGACUAGCUUAUGGUGAAGUCUGGGUGUCAUUUUGGCCAUCGUUUUACAAAUGACCGCUCACCUGAUUGAAAAUCAAGGACUUGAAAAGUGGGUUGGAGGGUUACUGGGUUAUCUCUAAAUUAGCUGUUCACUUUUUUGGCUUUGUCACUACUGAGCAGAUGAAGGAACUUGGCUGCUCGGUCUUCAUCUAGCUCCCCAAAUUUUGACAUUGGAUACUCUAAAGCAUGAGAAGAGAUGGACUAGCUUAUGGUGAAGUCUGGGUGUCAGUUUAACCAUCGUUUUACAAAUGACCGCUCACCUGAUUGAAGACCAAGGACUUGAAUAUUGGGUUGGAGGGUUACUGGAUUAUCUCUAAAUUAGCUGUUCACUUUUUUUUGGCUUUGUCACUACUGUAGUUGAAAAUAUCAAGUGCAUCUUUAAGGUUAAUGGUAGAAGUUUUGACUUUUAUAUUGUUAACGUGACAGUUGGGUGUCAGUUUAGAAAGGACUGGACAUGAUGCUUACAUUUUGAAGGGAUUAAAUUGUUGCCAUCUUUAUGUAACUUGAUGUAAGAGAAUGACUCAAAUUCAUGGAGUUGGUGAAUCCCAAGUCUUGCAGUGUACCGUCUUGAAGUGCUAACUACUUUCAUCUUCUACACUAAUAUACUAUAUUUAAAUAAAAAUAACAGGUGUAAAAUUUGUAUUCGGCA
This is a long non-coding RNA of Papaver somniferum (opium poppy), 4423 nucleotides long. RefSeq lists it as uncharacterized. The transcript has 3 exons. NCBI's taxonomy places the organism in Eukaryota, Viridiplantae, Streptophyta, Magnoliopsida, Ranunculales, Papaveraceae. The record is from RefSeq and is a predicted model, not a curated record.